This 81-nucleotide small nuclear RNA is filed under the name Mus musculus (house mouse). The record is from RNAcentral. Lineage: Eukaryota; Metazoa; Chordata; Mammalia; Rodentia; Muridae.
AAACAUGGAAUGCUACAGAGAAGAUUAGCAUGGCCCCUGUGCAAGGAUAACUCACAAAUUCGUGAAGUUCCAUAAAAGAGA